Molecule: small nucleolar RNA, 204 nt
Filed under: Jaculus jaculus (lesser Egyptian jerboa)
Lineage: Eukaryota; Metazoa; Chordata; Mammalia; Rodentia; Dipodidae
Description: Small nucleolar RNA SNORA73 family (ENSJJAG00000006316.1)
Rfam family: Small nucleolar RNA SNORA73 family
About the family: U17 (SNORA73A and SNORA73B) also known as E1 belongs to the H/ACA class of small nucleolar RNAs (snoRNAs).
Source: Rfam by way of RNAcentral
CCAACAUGGAUAUCCUGGGAGGUCACUCUCCCCAGGCUCUGUCCUGGUGGCGUAGGGGAGCACAGGGCUCUGCCCUAUGAUGUACAGUCCCUUUCCAGGACAUUGGAGAUGAAGCUGGGCCUUGAGUCUGCGCCUGCAUAUUCCUACGGCUUCUCAGAGUCCUGUGGACCAUGACUGAGGAGAUAAACCAUGCAGGAAACAUUA